Amaranthus tricolor (Joseph's coat) is the source of this 615-nucleotide long non-coding RNA. RefSeq lists it as uncharacterized. The transcript is spliced from 3 exons. Lineage: Eukaryota; Viridiplantae; Streptophyta; Magnoliopsida; Caryophyllales; Amaranthaceae. The record is from RefSeq and is a predicted model, not a curated record.
UAUCUCUUAUACUAAUUUUCUUUCUCUUUAUAUUCUCCCUACCUCUUAACAAAUCUUACAUAAAAAUAGUGUCCUUCCUUUUCUCAUUUGCAAACCCAACAAUCAACAUAGCUAUUCAAUUCCUUGCCCAUCAGUAGAAAUUCUCAACUAUUCAAUUUUUCUAUUCAGAAUUGUAAUUCUCAAAGCACCGUCAUUCACUCUGCGAUUGGCUACCCACCGCCGCAACUGGUUGCUCACAGCAGCUCACUGUCGCAACUGGUCGCUUACCGCUACUUACCCUGCAAUCGGCCACUCACCGCCGCAAUUGGCCGGUCACCCAUCAUUGCUUCCUCCAUUUUUCCUUAAAAUGAGUGGUCUUAUAAUCAUUUCUUCCAUGGAGUAUUUUUAUUGCUGUUGGAUUGGGAGGAACACAGCUCAAACUAAUUACUCCUAUUAGUCUAAAUGUCUCCUCAGUACAAGUUUGGAAAAUGGGAUACAAGGAACAAGAGGGGAGAAUGGAAAUAAAUUAUAUCAGUGAUCAUGAAGUUGCGUGUAAGGAAGAAGCACACAUAGAUCACAAUGAGAAAGAAUAAUAACAAAUUUAGUUUCAAACAAUAAUUUAUAUGUUUAUUUGGA